Long non-coding RNA from Coffea arabica (coffee), 485 nucleotides. RefSeq lists it as uncharacterized. The record is from RefSeq and is a predicted model, not a curated record. Lineage: Eukaryota; Viridiplantae; Streptophyta; Magnoliopsida; Gentianales; Rubiaceae.
UGAUUAUUUGCCAAAUAAAUUGGUGCCUUGACCUUUUCUUUGUAUUUUGGAGGGUAAAUAGUUGAUUUCAUUUCAUUGGGCCCCAAUUGCAAAAGAGAAGCAUGUGCCACCGAAUUCACUCACUCCAAAUAGCUGAAAAGUUGUGUGAAAAGUGAGAAAAAAUGGCAGUGCCACUUGCAGGAGAGAGAAGCAGAUCCGAGCCUCGGAUCCGAGGGGUGAAAAUGGAUCUGAGGACUUCUCAUGAUGGAUCCGAGGUCGGAUCGUCCUGUCCUCGGAUACACUCUUCCAGAAGUACAGACGAGGGCUCGGAUCCCUCUUGUUCACACGGAUCCGAGCUCGGAUCCGUGUUGAUCAAAUUUCCAGUUUUUCGCUUCUUUCCUUUUUCUACAUUUCUGCUCCCAAUUUCUUUUGUACUUUGUCCUCUGGAUGAUCCUUACAUUUCUUUCAGCUCGUUAAUGAAUUUCAUACAUCAAUAACCUUCACAA